RNAcentral lists this ribosomal RNA (497 nucleotides) under uncultured bacterium. Its description in RNAcentral is "partial 16S ribosomal RNA". It matches the Rfam family "Bacterial small subunit ribosomal RNA", at positions 28 to 507 of the family's 1533-position model. The record is from RNAcentral.
GAUGAACGCUGGCGGCGUGCCUAAUACAUGCAAGUCGAGCGAACAGACGAGGAGCUUGCUCCUCUGACGUUAGCGGCGGACGGGUGAGUAACACGUGGAUAACCUACCUAUAAGACUGGGAUAACUUCGGGAAACCGGAGCUAAUACCGGAUAAUAUAUUGAACCGCAUGGUUCAAUAGUGAAAGACGGUUUUGCUGUCACUUAUAGAUGGAUCCGCGCCGCAUUAGCUAGUUGGUAAGGUAACGGCUUACCAAGGCAACGAUGCGUAGCCGACCUGAGAGGGUGAUCGGCCACACUGGAACUGAGAAACGGUCCAGACUCCUACGGGAGGCAGCAGUAGGGAAUCUUCCGCAAUGGGCGAAAGCCUGACGGAGCAACGCCGCGUGAGUGAUGAAGGUCUUCGGAUCGUAAAACUCUGUUAUUAGGGAAGAACAAAUGUGUAAGUAACUAUGCACGUCUUGACGGUACCUAAUCAGAAAGCUACGGCUAACUACGUG